GACGAACGCUGGCGGCGUGCUUAACACAUGCAAGUCGAGCGGUAAGGCCCUUUCGGGGGGUACACGAGCGGCGAACGGGUGAGUAACACGUGGGUGACCUGCCCUCAGCUCUGGGAUAAGCCCGGGAAACUGGGUCUAAAUACCGGAUAUGACUCCAUGACGCAUGUUGGUGGGGCGGAAAAGCCUUGUGCGGCUGAGGAUGGGCCCGCGGCCUA
Molecule: ribosomal RNA, 215 nt
Filed under: uncultured bacterium
Lineage: Bacteria
Description: partial 16S ribosomal RNA
Rfam family: Bacterial small subunit ribosomal RNA
Source: RNAcentral